RNAcentral lists this ribosomal RNA (433 nucleotides) under uncultured bacterium. RNAcentral's name for it is "bacterial SSU rRNA". It matches the Rfam family "Bacterial small subunit ribosomal RNA", at positions 9 to 424 of the family's 1533-position model. The record is from RNAcentral.
GAGUUUGAUCUUGGCUCAGGAUGAACGCUGGCGGCGUGCUUAACACAUGCAAGUCGAACGAAGCACUUUAUUACGAUUUCUUCGGAAUGACGAUUUAGUGACUGAGUGGCGGACGGGUGAGUAACGCGUGGGUAACCUGCCUUAUACAGGGGGAUAACAGUUAGAAAUGACUGCUAAUACCGCAUAAGCGCACAGGAUUGCAUGAUCUGGUGUGAAAACUCCGGUGGUAUAAGAUGGACCCGCGUCUGAUUAGCUGGUUGGUGAGGUAACGGCCCACCAAGGCGACGAUCAGUAGCCGACCUGAGAGGGUGACCGGCCACAUUGGGACUGAGACACGGCCCAAACUCCUACGGGAGGCAGCAGUGGGGAAUAUUGCACAAUGGGGGAAACCCUGAUGCAGCGACGCCGCGUGAGCGAAGAAGUAUUUCGGUAU